GACGAACGCUGGCGGCGUGCUUAACACAUGCAAGUCGAACGGAAAGGCCCUGCUUUUGUGGGGUGCUCGAGUGGCGAACGGGUGAGUAACACGUGAGUAACCUGCCCUUGACUUUGGGAUAACUUCAGGAAACUGGGGCUAAUACCGGAUAGGAGCUCCUGCUGCAUGGUGGGGGUUGGAAAGUUUCGGCGGUUGGGGAUGGACUCGCGGCUUAUCAGCUUGUUGGUGGGGUAGUGGCUUACCAAGGCUUUGACGGGUAGCCGGCCUGAGAGGGUGACCGGCCACAUUGGGACUGAGAUACGGCCCAGACUCCUACGGGAGGCAGCAGUGGGGAAUAUUGCACAAUGGGCGGAAACCUGAUGCAGCAACGCCGCGUGCGGGAUGACAGCCUUCGGGUUGUAAACCGCUUUCGCCUGUGACGAAGCGUGAGUGACGGUAAUGGGUAAAGAAGCACCGGCUAACUACGUG
Molecule: ribosomal RNA, 468 nt
Filed under: uncultured bacterium
Lineage: Bacteria
Description: partial 16S ribosomal RNA
Rfam family: Bacterial small subunit ribosomal RNA
Source: RNAcentral